RNAcentral lists this ribosomal RNA (332 nucleotides) under uncultured bacterium. RNAcentral's name for it is "bacterial SSU rRNA". It matches the Rfam family "Bacterial small subunit ribosomal RNA", at positions 568 to 898 of the family's 1533-position model. The record is from RNAcentral.
CGUGUAGGCGGGAUGACAAGUCAGAUGUGAAAUUCCGGGGCUUAACCCCGGCGCUGCAUCUGAAACUGUAAUUCUUGAGUGCUGGAGAGGAAAGCGGAAUUCCAAGUGUAGCGGUGAAAUGCGUAGAUAUUUGGAGGAACACCAGUGGCGAAGGCGGCUUUCUGGACAGUAACUGACGCUGAGGCGCGAAAGCGUGGGGAGCAAACAGGAUUAGAUACCCUGGUAGUCCACGCUGUAAACGAUGGAUACUAGGUGUAGGAGGUAUCGACCCCUUCUGUGCCGCAGUUAACACAAUAAGUAUCCCACCUGGGGAGUACGGCCGCAAGGUUGAA